UUUUUGGAAGCCUCGAUACAUAUCGAGGUUCUACCUACAAUCCAUUCUCAAAUAACUUAACCGGACUAACACAAUUAUUUUGCACACAAAAGGAAUUCAAUCUGUACACUUUUAUGAUGCUAAUCAUGUAUCGAACAAAUUAACAUGUCGAGAGUCGACAAAAAGAAACAUGUCUAUAACACAAGUAUAAAUGCUGUUUCAAAAAGAUGUUUUUAAUGCUGUUUCAAAAAGAUGUUUUUUUUUUCUGUCAUCAGAAUAAACAUAUUCUAGAAGACUUUCGAAAUCAAAAUAAACAUAUUCGUGAAAACUAUUUCGAAAAGAUGUAAAUUUUAGAAUUUUUGCACUUACUAAAAAUAUAUUAAGUUUUGAUUAUUGAUACAUCUUUUUGCAAUUAACAAUAUAUAUUUUACCAUUAAAAGAUAUAUUGAAAAUGUAAAAAUAUGUUUUGAAACAUUUUUUUGAAACAUGAAUAUUUUCAGAACGAGGGGAAUAUGUUGUAAGUUUUUGUAUUGUAACUGCAAAUUUAUAUCAAUAACUUUCAAUAAUUAAUUAUAGACCUUUAGAAAAUUCAUUUCUAAAGCUAAUAUAAUUUCUAUUUUAACCUUAGCUCUGUAGUUUUAAAUUAUUUUUUAAAUAAUGAUUGGUAAACUAAAAUAACUAUAAAAAGAAAAGCUAUGAAAAGCACUUGGAAUACUUACGAAUCAUCUCAUGUGAUAUUACGAAGAUCAUAAAGUCGUCCGGAAACAAAUUUGAUUGAUGUGUCAUAUUCACCUCUAAAUGUUGUAUUUAUAUAAUCAUUUAUACGGAUGACAAAGAAAAUCAUUUCUUCAACACUUUUUCAUUUAUACAACACUUACUUUUAUGUUUUACUUAUUAAGACUUUUAAAAAUUGUGGAUUAAAAUGGAAUAUUUAAUAUUUUAUAGUUAAAACUUGUUCCUAAAAUUUUGAUAAAUUCAAAAUGUGUUGUUGACAUAUAUAGAAGACAAUAUGAUUUGGGGAUUACUUUUAUAAUCAUUUUUUCAGUUCUAUUGAUUUUUGUUUUGUUUUUUUUUUUGAUAAAAGAAAAAUGUUAAAUCCGAAUCUAUUAAAGACACAGACCUAACCUCCGGGUAGAAGUUAAAAUAUUCUUUUGUUUUUGUUAGUUCAAUUUCCUUUUUCUAAAUUUAACCAAAGUGGUUUUUUUUUAAAGGAUUUUUUAUCUGUUAGCAAUUAAGUUAUUUAUUUGGUAUACUUUAUUAGUAGUGUCAUCAAUCAUUUGUUAGUAUAAUAAUAUUUUAAUUUUUUAUGAUUUUAUUGGCUGACUUAUUAUGUUUUUUGCCUAUAUAGACACUUUUAGAUAACCUAGUUUGAUCGGACCGGUCUGAAUUGCUCUUACGAUAAAUGGGCUGAAACAUGAACCGGUAUGUUUCUUGUCUGUUAUGCCCGAAACAUGGACCCGUAUGUUUUCUUUAACUUUCAAAUUACUCAUCUGUAUACAUACGCCCCAUGAGUUGACAAAAAAAAAAAAAUACAUACGCCCCAUGAAACUUGCUUGAAUACAAUUCACGUAUAAUGAUGAUUGAGUUACCUCUCAAUUCAUUUGGCCUGCCAUCAAGUGUGAUGAGUGUUUGAGAAAUAGUAACACCUUUAAAAUAUAAGCUACAGAAAAAAAAAAAAAAAAAAAAAAUCGAGUUUAACUGGCUUUAACAAAAUAGAAAAACAAAAUUAAACCGGAGUUGAUCUGAUUGAACCGGAAAUAGCCGCGUGAAAUCCUCAACUCCAAGUUUGAACCGACCGGUCUCGAUCGCUGACUUUGUUGCUACUUAUACCAAUCACAGUAGAAGAUAAGAACGAUCAUCUCUCAUCUCUCCCCCAAAUUUUGAAAAUUUUGAUCAUCUCUUCAUGGAUCUUACUUUCACUCACAGAUUCGUGAAGGUCAACGGAAUCAACAUGCACUUCGCCGAGAAAACUCCCUCCUUCACCGACAACGGCGCUUCACGUCCUCCUCCGGUGAUACUCUUCCUCCACGGAUUUCCCGAGCUCUGGUACACGUGGCGGCACCAGAUGGUUGCUCUCUCGUCGCUAGGCUACCGCACAAUCGCCCCCGACCUGCGCGGAUACGGAGACACGGAGGCGCCGGAGAGCGCGGACGCGUACACGAGUCUCCACGUGGUCGGAGAUCUGAUCGGAUUGGUCGACGCGGUGGUCGGAGAUCGGGAGAAAGUGUUCGUGGUGGGACACGAUUGGGGAGCGAUCAUCGCGUGGCAUCUCUGUCUUCUCAGACCGGACAGGGUUAAGGCUUUGGUCAACAUGAGUGUGGUGUUCGAGCCUUGGAACCUUAAGAGGAAACCGAUCUCAAUGUUUAAAUCGUUUUAUGGAGAUGACUACUAUAUCUGCAGGAGUAUGGAGAAAUAGAGGCGGAGUUCGCUAAGGUAGGCACGGAACGAGUUCUCUUAGAGAUGUUAACGUAUCGUAAUACUGGUCCUAUACUAUUACCUAAAGGGAAAAGCUAUGAUGAUCCUGUUUCAUUGCCCUCUUGGCUAACCGAGUAUGAUGUUAAGUAUUAUGUUUCCAAGUAUGAGAAGAGUGGCUUCACUGGACCUGUAAACUACUACAGAAACAUGGACCGGACAUGGGAGAUGAUGGGGGCAUUCUCAAACGCUCAGGUGAAAGUUCCGGUUAAGUUUAUAAUCGGCGACCAGGAUUUGACGUAUCACAUUCCGGGGACCAAGAAGUACAUCCACGAAGGCCGGUUUAAGAGCCACGUACCGUUGUUAGACGAAGUAGUGGUAAUUAAAGGCGUUGGCCAUUUUCUCCAUGAGGAAAGGCCUGUCGAGAUAAGUAAACACAUCCACGACUACUUCCUCACGUU
Molecule: RNA transcript, 2852 nt
Organism: Brassica rapa (field mustard)
Lineage: Eukaryota; Viridiplantae; Streptophyta; Magnoliopsida; Brassicales; Brassicaceae
Gene name: epoxide hydrolase A
Source: RefSeq, a predicted model, not a curated record